CUUGGUCAUUUAGAGGAAGUAAAAGUCAUAACAAGGUUUCCGUAGGUGAACCUGCGGAAGGAUCAUUAAUAGUGCCCAUUGAUGCAAAUCAUUGGGUUAGAUCUGCCCUUAUCGCAAGAUGAGGGCUUCCAUAUACACCGUGAACUGUGGCUUCGGCCAUCACAAACUGUUAGUAAUGAAUGUAAUAUCAUAACAAAAACAAAACUUUUAACAACGGAUCUCUUGGCUCUCGCAUCGAUGAAGAACGCAGCGAAAUGCGAUAAGUAAUGUGAAUUGCAGAAUUCAGUGAAUCAUCGAAUCUUUGAACGCACCUUGCGCCCUUUGGUAUUCCGAAGGGCAUGCCUGUUUGAGUGUCAUGAAACCUCACCCCACUUAGGUUUUUGUCUAAGCGGUGGUGUAUUGGGUGUUUGCCUUGCUAAAGGCUCGCCUUAAAGAUAUAAGCACCUUGGAUGUAAUACGUUUCAUCCUUCUGGGUGGCUGAUAACCCCACAUAUUCAUGAUCUGGCCUCAAAUCAGGUAGGGCUACCCGCUGAACUUAAGCAUAUCAAUAAGCGGAGGAAAAGAAACUAACUAGGAUUCCCUUAGUAACGGCGAGUGAACCGGGAUGAGCUCAAAUUUAAAAUCUGGCGUCUUUCAGGCGUCCGAGUUGUAAUCUAUAGAGGCGUUUUCCGCGCCGGACCGCGUCCAAGUCUCUUGGAAUAGAGUAUCAAAGAGGGUGACAAUCCCGUACUUGACGCGACAACCGGUGCUCUGUGAUACGUUCUCAAUGAGUCGAGUUGUUUGGGAAU
This 788-nucleotide small RNA is filed under the name uncultured Cryptococcus. Its description in RNAcentral is "eukaryotic LSU rRNA". The stretch from base 503 to 788 matches the Rfam family "Eukaryotic large subunit ribosomal RNA", at positions 1 to 281 of the family's 3401-position model. The record is from RNAcentral. Lineage: Eukaryota; Fungi; Basidiomycota; Tremellomycetes.